RNAcentral lists this ribosomal RNA (771 nucleotides) under uncultured Neocallimastigales. Its description in RNAcentral is "partial large subunit ribosomal RNA". It matches the Rfam family "Eukaryotic large subunit ribosomal RNA", at positions 23 to 644 of the family's 3401-position model. The record is from RNAcentral. Lineage: Eukaryota; Fungi; Neocallimastigomycota; Neocallimastigomycetes; Neocallimastigales.
AGAGAGAGACAUGCGCGCAUAUCAAUAAGCGGAGGAAAAGAAACUAACAAGGAUUCCCUUAGUAACGGCGAGUGAAGCGGGAAGAGCUCAAAUUUGAAAUCUUCAAGGUUUUACCUUGACGAAUUGUAGUUUAAAGAAGUGUUUUCUGCUGAAGUUUUGGUAAAAGUUCUUUGGAAUAGGACAUCAUAGAGGGUGAGAAUCCCGUAUUUGACCAUUAUUUUCAGCUUUGUGAUACACUUUCAAAGAGUCGGAUUGUUUGGGAAUGCAGUCCAAAAUGGGUGGUAAAUUUCAUCUAAAGCUAAAUAUUGGCGAGAGACCGAUAGCGAACAAGUACCGUGAGGGAAAGAUGAAAAGAACUUUGAAAAGAGAGUUAAACAGUACGUGAAAUUGUCAAAAGGGAAGCGUUUGACACCAGUGUUGUUUUCUCGAAAAUCAAUUAAAAAUGGCUCGAUUUGUGUAUUGCUGAGGCUUACUCAGCUUUAGCAUCUUUUCUUGUCUUUUUAAUGCACUUUUCGUUUAACAAGUCAACAUCAAUUUCUUUUGUUGUAAAAGGGUCAUUGGAAGGUGGCUUUCUUUUCGGAGAAAGUGUUUAUAGCCUUUGGCCUCUGCAAUCGAAGAGACUGAGGUCUGCAGCGUAGACUCUUCGGGGUUAGAUACAUUUGUGCUAUGUUAUAGCUUUUUAUAGACAACUUGUUGACUAUAAUUAGUCUUGUAGCUUACUCGCUUAUGCUAUUUUACCUACGCUUAGGAUGUUGAAGUCAUCGUAUCGCG